RNAcentral lists this ribosomal RNA (349 nucleotides) under Latonia nigriventer (Hula painted frog). RNAcentral describes it as "partial 12S ribosomal RNA". It matches the Rfam family "Bacterial small subunit ribosomal RNA", at positions 865 to 1381 of the family's 1533-position model. Lineage: Eukaryota; Metazoa; Chordata; Amphibia; Anura; Alytidae. The record is from RNAcentral.
CUAUCCGCCUGGGAACUACGAGCCUCAGCUUAAAACCCAAAGGACUUGGCGGUGCCCCAAACCCACCUAGAGGAGCCUGUUCUAUAAUCGAUACCCCCCGCUUAACCUCACCACUUCUUGCCAAAACCGCCUAUAUACCACCGUCGCCAGCCCACCCCGUGAGGGAAACGCAGUAGGCAAAAUGGCCCUCGCCAAAACGUCAGGUCAAGGUGUAGCAUAUGGAGUGGAAAGAAAUGGGCUACAUUUUCUGCCUCAGAACACCACGGAAGGUCACUAUGAAACCUGACCGGAAGGAGGAUUUAGUAGUAAAAAGAAAUAAGAGAGUUCUUUUUAACCCGGCCCUGGGGCG